GACAGCAGUAGCCGCGGUAAUACGUAGGGUGCGAGCGUUAAUCGGAAUUACUGGGCGUAAAGCGUGCGCAGGCGGUUAUAUAAGACAGAUGUGAAAUCCCCGGGCUCAACCUGGGACCUGCAUUUGUGACUGUAUAGCUAGAGUACGGUAGAGGGGGAUGGAAUUCCGCGUGUAGCAGUGAAAUGCGUAGAUAUGCGGAGGAACACCGAUGGCGAAGGCAAUCCCCUGGACCUGUACUGACGCUCAUGCACGAAAGCGUGGGGAGCAAACAGGAUUAGAUACCCCAGUAGUCCCUGUCUCUUAUAC
This 306-nucleotide ribosomal RNA is filed under the name uncultured bacterium. RNAcentral describes it as "partial 16S ribosomal RNA". It matches the Rfam family "Bacterial small subunit ribosomal RNA", at positions 507 to 807 of the family's 1533-position model. The record is from RNAcentral.